UGGGGAAUAUUGGACAAUGGGCGAAAGCCUGAUCCAGCCAUGCCGCGUGUGUGAAGAAGGUCUUCGGAUUGUAAAGCACUUUAAGUUGGGAGGAAGGGCAGUAAGCGAAUACCUUGCUGUUUUGACGUUACCGACAGAAUAAGCACCGGCUAACUCUGUGCCAGCAGCCGCGGUAAUACAGAGGGUGCAAGCGUUAAUCGGAAUUACUGGGCGUAAAGCGCGCGUAGGUGGUUCGUUAAGUUGAAUGUGAGAGCCCCGGGCUCAACCUGGGAACUGCAUCCAAAACUGGCGUGAUAGAGUAGGGCAGAGGGUGGUGGAAUUUCCUGUGUAGCGGUGAAAUGCGUAGAUAUAGGAAGGAACACCAGUGGCGAAGGCGACCACCUGGGAUCAUACUGACACUGAGGUGCGAAAGCGUGGGGAGCAAACAGG
RNAcentral lists this ribosomal RNA (429 nucleotides) under Pseudomonadota bacterium. RNAcentral's name for it is "Proteobacteria bacterium partial 16S ribosomal RNA". It matches the Rfam family "Bacterial small subunit ribosomal RNA", at positions 355 to 776 of the family's 1533-position model. Lineage: Bacteria; Pseudomonadati; Pseudomonadota. The record is from RNAcentral.